This 750-nucleotide ribosomal RNA is filed under the name cyanobacterium enrichment culture clone 4_16_4.2.15_B10-T7. Its description in RNAcentral is "bacterial SSU rRNA". It matches the Rfam family "Bacterial small subunit ribosomal RNA", at positions 62 to 853 of the family's 1533-position model. The record is from RNAcentral. Lineage: Bacteria; Bacillati; Cyanobacteriota.
UCGAACGGGACUCUUCGGAGUUUAGUGGCGGACGGGUGAGUAACGCGUGAGAAUCUGCCCUUAGGUUGGGGACAACAGUUGGAAACGACUGCUAAUACCCAAUGUGCCGAGAGGUGAAAGGUUAACUGCCUGGGGAUGAGCUCGCGUCUGAUUAGCUAGUUGGAGUGGUAACGGCACACCAAGGCGACGAUCAGUAGCUGGUCUGAGAGGAUGAUCAGCCACACUGGGACUGAGACACGGCCCAGACUCCUACGGGAGGCAGCAGUGGGGAAUUUUCCGCAAUGGGCGAAAGCCUGACGGAGCAAGACCGCGUGAGGGAGGAAGGCCUAUUGGUUGUAAACCUCUUUUGAUAGGGAAGAACACAAUGACGGUACCUAUCGAAUCAGCAUCGGCUAGCUCCGUGCCAGCAGCCGCGGUAAUACGGAGGAUGCAAGCGUUAUCCGGAUUUAUUGGGCGUAAAGCGUCCGUAGGUGGCAAACCAAGUCAGUUGUUAAAGCGUAGAGCUUAACUCUAUAAGGGCAAUUGAAACUGGUUAGCUAGAGUGCGAUAGGGGCAAGGGGAAUUCCCAGUGUAGCGGUGAAAUGCGUAGAUAUUGGGAAGAACAUCGGUGGCGAAGGCGCCUUGCUGGGUCUGCACUGACACUGAGGGACGAAAGCUAGGGGANCGGAAGGGAUUAGAUACCCCUGUAGUCCUAGCCGUAAACGAUGGAUACUAGGCGUUGUCCGUAUCGACCCGAGCCGUGCCGAAGCA